This 291-nucleotide ribosomal RNA is filed under the name Eucalyptolyma maideni. Its description in RNAcentral is "partial 12S ribosomal RNA". The record is from RNAcentral. Lineage: Eukaryota; Metazoa; Arthropoda; Insecta; Hemiptera; Aphalaridae.
GAGUAGUAAUUGGUAUAAUCUUGAAACUCAAAUAAUUUGGCGGUAUUUUAUCUAAUCAGAGGAACCUGUCAAUUAAUUGAUAAUCCACCGCUUAUUAGUCUUAAGUAUUUUACUUGUAUACCGCCGUCAUGAAUGUACUAAAAAGUUUAUUUUUAAAUUUUAUUAAUUGCAUGUUAGGUCAAGGUGCAGUUUUUUAAGAAAAAGAUGGGUUACAUUUAGUAUAAUGAAUGUGAAAAAGGAUUUGAUAGUAAAUUAAUAAAGAAAUUUAGUGAAUUAAGAUUCUAAAAUAUG